GCAGUCAGAGGCGAUGAAGGGCGUGCUAAUCUGCGAUAAGCGCCGGUAAGGUGAUAUGAACCGUUAUAACCGGCGAUACCCGAAUGGGGAAACCCAGUGUGACUCGUCACACUAUCAUUAACUGAAUCCAUAGGUUAAUGAGGCGAACCGGGGGAACUGAAACAUCUAAGUACCCCGAGGAAAAGAAAUCAACCGAGAUUCCCCCAGUAGCGGCGAGCGAACGGGGAGGAGCCCAGAGCCUGAAUCAGCAUGUGUGUUAGUGGAAGCGUCUGGAAAGGCGCGCGAUACAGGGUGACAGCCCCGUACACAAAAGCGCAUGUGCUGUGAGCUCGAUGAGUAGGGCGGGACACGUGGUAUCCUGUCUGAAUAUGGGGGGACCAUCCUCCAAGGCUAAAUACUCCUGACUGACCGAUAGUGAACCAGUACCGUGAGGGAAAGGCGAAAAGAACCCCGGCGAGGGGAGUGAAAAAGAACCUGAAACCGUGUACGUACAAGCAGUGGGAGCACAGGUUUACCUGUGUGACUGCGUACCUUUUGUAUAAUGGGUCAGCGACUUAUAUUCUGUAGCAAGGUUAACCGAAUAGGGGAGCCGGAGGGAAACCGAGUCUUAAUUGGGCGUUAAGUUGCAGGGUAUAGACCCGAAACCCGGUGAUCUAGCCAUGGGCAGGUUGAAGGUUGGGUAACACUAACUGGAGGACCGAACCGACUAAUGUUGAAAAAUUAGCGGAUGACCUGUGGCUGGGGGUGAAAGGCCAAUCAAACCGGGAGAUAGCUGGUUCUCCCCGAAAGCUAUUUAGGUAGCGCCUCGUGAAUUCAUCUCCGGGGGUAGAGCACUGUUUCGGCUAGGGGGCCAUCCCGGCUUACCAACCCGAUGCAAACUGCGAAUACCGGAGAAUGUUAUCACGGGAGACACACGGCGGGUGCUAACGUCCGUCGUGAAGAGGGAAACAACCCAGACCGCCAGCUAAGGUCCCAAAGUCAUGGUUAAGUGGGAAACGAUGUGGGAAGGCCCAGACAGCCAGGAUGUUGGCUUAGAAGCAGCCAUCAUUUAAAGAAAGCGUAAUAGCUCACUGGUCGAGUCGGCCUGCGCGGAAGAUGUAACGGGGCUAAACCAUG
Molecule: ribosomal RNA, 1116 nt
Filed under: Salmonella enterica subsp. enterica serovar Enteritidis
Lineage: Bacteria; Pseudomonadati; Pseudomonadota; Gammaproteobacteria; Enterobacterales; Enterobacteriaceae
Description: partial 23S ribosomal RNA
Rfam family: Bacterial large subunit ribosomal RNA
Source: RNAcentral